AAAGAAAUGGGUCCUAGACCCCCACACACGCCACUCGGUAAAGAAUCGGGCCUAUAGCUCAGCUGGCUAGAGCACACGACUGAUAAUCGUGAGGUCAGUGGUUCGAGUCCACUUGGGCCCACCAAAUGGGGCUGUAGCUCAGCUGGGAGAGCACCUGCUUUGCAAGCAGGGGGUCACCGGUUCGAUCCCGGUCAGCUCCACCAAAGGGAAGAGGCCCGCGCGAAGCGGGUCGGACGCUGGGGUGGAGAAGUAGGCGGCAGGAAGCGGUUAAGAGGUAACAGGAAGUAGAGAGUAGGAAAGUAAUUAAAGAGUCCGUAGUAGUGAGUUUCUGAAUAAAGAAGCUGAGUACUACCGAUUCGCAGUAUGGAAGCGGUAUUGUUCUUUGACAGUUGAGGAAGGGAAGGCCAUGUUUGUCAUCUUGCCGAUGGCAGACCUCCAGGUGGAUGCUUGGGGAUAUAU
This 459-nucleotide unclassified non-coding RNA is filed under the name Acidithiobacillus thiooxidans. RNAcentral's name for it is "16S-23S ribosomal RNA intergenic spacer". The stretch from base 48 to 121 matches the Rfam family "tRNA". The record is from RNAcentral. Lineage: Bacteria; Pseudomonadati; Pseudomonadota; Acidithiobacillia; Acidithiobacillales; Acidithiobacillaceae.